Molecule: ribosomal RNA, 459 nt
Filed under: uncultured bacterium
Lineage: Bacteria
Description: partial 16S ribosomal RNA
Rfam family: Bacterial small subunit ribosomal RNA
Source: RNAcentral
CCUACGGGUGGCAGCAGUGAGGAAUAUUGGUCAAUGGCCGAGAGGCUGAACCAGCCAAGCCGCGUGAGGGAUGACGGCCCUACGGGUUGUAAACCUCUUUUGCCGGGGAGCAAAUACCGGGACGCGUCCCGCCUCGAGAGUACCCGGAGAAAAAGCAUCGGCUAACUCCGUGCCAGCAGCCGCGGUAAUACGGAGGAUGCGAGCGUUAUCCGGAUUUAUUGGGUUUAAAGGGUGCGCAGGCGGAGAGGUAAGUCAGCGGUAAAAUUGAGGGGCUCAACCUCUUCCCGCCGUUGACACUGCGUGUCUUGAGUGGGCGAGAAGUACGCGGAAUGCGUGGUGUAGCGGUGAAAUGCAUAGAUAUCACGCAGAACUCCGAUUGCGAAGGCAGCGUACCGGCGCCAAACUGACGCUCAUGCACGAAAGCGUGGGUAUCGAACAGGAUUAGAUACCCGUGUAGUC